CCUACGGGAGGCAGCAGUGAGGAAUAUUGGUCAAUGGGCGAGAGCCUGAACCAGCCAAGUCGCGUGAAGGAUGACGGCCCUACGGGUUGUAAACUUCUUUUGUCAGGGAGCAAUUGAGUCCACGUGUGGGCUUAGCGAGAGUACCUGAAGAAAAAGCAUCGGCUAACUCCGUGCCAGCAGCCGCGGUAAUACGGAGGAUGCGAGCGUUAUCCGGAUUUAUUGGGUUUAAAGGGUGCGUAGGCGGAAUGCCAAGUCAGCGGUAAAAUCGCGGGGCUCAACCUCGCACCGCCGUUGAAACUGGCGUU
RNAcentral lists this ribosomal RNA (305 nucleotides) under uncultured bacterium. RNAcentral describes it as "bacterial SSU rRNA". It matches the Rfam family "Bacterial small subunit ribosomal RNA", at positions 338 to 640 of the family's 1533-position model. The record is from RNAcentral.